Molecule: transfer RNA, 65 nt
Filed under: Dipodomys ordii (Ord's kangaroo rat)
Lineage: Eukaryota; Metazoa; Chordata; Mammalia; Rodentia; Heteromyidae
Rfam family: tRNA
About the family: Transfer RNA (tRNA) molecules are approximately 80 nucleotides in length. Their secondary structure includes four short double-helical elements and three loops (D, anti-codon, and T loops). Further hydrogen bonds mediate the characteristic L-shaped molecular structure. tRNAs have two regions of fundamental functional importance: the anti-codon, which is responsible for specific mRNA codon recognition, and the 3' end, to which the tRNAs corresponding amino acid is attached (by aminoacyl-tRNA synthetases). tRNAs cope with the degeneracy of the genetic code in two manners: having more than one tRNA (with a specific anti-codon) for a particular amino acid; and 'wobble' base-pairing, i.e. permitting non-standard base-pairing at the 3rd anti-codon position.
Source: Rfam by way of RNAcentral
GGUGGCUCAGCGGUAGAGCGCUUGCUUUGCAUGCAUGAGACCCUGGGUUCGAUUCCUCAGCACCA